AUGGGCAGAUAUUUCAAGGGCUGAUGACCUGCUGAUGAUAAGCUGAUUUCCUUACACUACGUAGUUUCCAGCAUAGAAAACAGCAAUGAAAACUGAUCUUUUAGAGGAGAAAGUUAAGACUAGGCCCUGAAUGAUACAGUAUUCUGAACUCAUGGGUUUUAGAACAGUCAUUAAUGCAGUUAUUAGACCCUGACUUAUUUAGCAGUUUUUUUUUUUUCUUCGCCAAACAUAUUACUAGAAAAAAUUUCAAAUUACAGAAGAAAAGGACAAGGGUUCCUAAUUUAAUAAGCUUAGGAAAGUUUGAUAGUCGUAAACAGACACAACCCCUCUCCUUUUCUCAAAGAAUUCGUGGCCUUUGAAAUACUGACUGUGUCUACAUGAAACCAAAGAAAGUCUCCUGGAGGAAUCCAUUUUAGUCGCAUACACAAACAGUUAAAUACAUCCAUGGCAGAGAAUGGUUUAUUAGUCCUUUUCAGUGUACAUCUGUAUGAAUAAGACAUCGAAUAUAAGGAACAUAGAAAGCAGGAGAACAAAGGGUUAAUUUAUUUACUAUGCAUGAGAGUUUCUAGACCUUUGCUUCCUCAGCUUUUAGUUCAAAAUUCCAUGCAUACUCUGCACAUAAUAAUAAAUGCCAUAAUUCAAUGUAUGCCAUAAUUUGAUUUACUUUCAAGCACCUUUUCUGGUUCAGCUCUCAAAGCUUUCCUUCCUAUAAACUUCCUCCAAAUUAUUCUUCGUGGCCCUCUGUAAAUCAUCAUUUGAAACUGGUAUUUGUGGGAUGACUCGAACACCAUCAGCAGAUUUCUAUCAAAUGAGCCAUCUUUCCUUUGGAGAAUCAGUGGUCAACGUCCACACCCUUAUUGGAGAAGGGGCCAAAUCACACUAAAAAAAAGAAGACUAAAACCUGAGCCCUUUCCCACCUCUUUGACGCUUGUAAUAAUGACAGCAGUCACUGAGUGACUGUCCUCUAGUUUGUCAGUCCUGCCUAGAGACCAAGAUCUUCAGGACAAGGCCUUUACACUCUGUUCCGUAUACUGCAUGUAUUGUCUGUUAUUACACCUGCCCAUGGCGGAAGAUGCUAUCUCAGAAAAGCUGGAGGCAACAGCUCUUAACUCUUAGUUCUUCAUAUGCAACUGCAAUUUAUUUUUUCUGUGCCUCAAGUUUCCGAUAUGUAAAAGGGGUGUAUUUAUUGCCCCAAGACUACCGAUUGGAUGCUUAGACUAAAGGAGUAUUGUUGGGGAGGAUUUUAAGAAUUAGUGAGGGAAAAGCACUUGUGCUAGAGAUUUUUAUAGCCUGCCACUAUUUUUGUAGCAAGAAGGUCUUGGAUAAUACAUUCUAAAUUCAAAAUUUAAGUGAAUUUUUAAUUCAAAAGAAAAGUGGACAAGAUUUAUACUGAAUAUUAGAGAUAGGUAAACAAGCUCUUGGUUUUGCAUUUAUUUUAUUUUAUUUUAUUUUAUUUUUUUGUCUUUUUGUGAUUUCUUGGGCCGCUCCCACGGCAUAUGGAGCGGCUCAAGAAAAGGCAAAAAGACAAAAAAAAAAAGACAUUAUUUCUUUUAAAUCUUUAUAUGAUAUUUGGGUUGAUUAUAAUGAGUUAUACAUUAAAUAGACACUGCUGUAGAAUUCAUGGUUCUGUUCUGGCCAACUCUACUUUGAGCAUAUUACCUAAGUAAGAACAAAUUCAGUGUUUUAAAAUAAAAGAAAGCAUAGCAUCCAAAGCUGGUAUUGAGGAGUGAAAACAUCUUCAAAGGCCAGUGCUUGGUUGCUUAACAUCAAACAUCUACUUAGAAAUGUCUAUUAGUUCAACAAGUAUUCCUGAAGGAAAACCUGUUGCAAAGCUAGUGGGUAUUCAACAUUUAAAACGACACAAGCAUGUAUUCUGCCACAAUGCAAAUUAUUAUUGCUUGGAUUGCCCAAACUUUGUUUAAACAAAUCUAUGAGUCGAGUUCACAAAGAGCCCAUGCAUUGUUGCCAUAUAGUAGCUAUAAGAAUAUAUAGUAUCCAAUCAAUGAGUCCUUUUAACAGAAGGGAAAUUACUUGGUAUAUUUUAAUGUAAAUCAUGAAUGUAAUUAUGCAAAGAACAUAUCUAAAUAUCUAGAACUGUUAUUUAAAUCUUUAACUGUUGUAAACAAUACCCAUCUUUUCUGCUGUGCAUCUUUAACUGGACUAUAUGCUCCUUGAGGAUAAAUCCUGACUUACACUUCUCUGAAUUUCCCAGUGCCUCCAGUACAGUGGUUUACACACAGCAUUUGCUUCCAAAAUAUCUGCUUUUUAAUUGGAUUCGCCUCUUAUUGGCUUUUCUUGGGGGCAAUUAAGCCACAUAAAGUGCCCAUAGAUAAAGGCAUCAUUAUUACUGAGGUGAAAGUUGCAAUUCUUAAUUUUUUUUUUAAAUUAUGCAUUGGGCCACUUAUUUUUCCCAUGUGACACUUAACCUGACUAAUUAUAGAAGUGAAUAGAAAAACAUGAUUCUCUUUUAAAAAGCUCACUUUACAUGCAACAUUUUUAGGAAUCCAGCUAACACGUCAAGCAGAAUCAUUCUGCACAAUGUAGGUUACGGUGAGUAUGUACUACAGCUUUGAUGGCAAAUAUUUUAAAUUAAAGCAAGCUACUCCCAAAAUUAUAUCAACAUAAAUAUGCAGUCUCUCACAAACACACAUUUGCACAUCCUUAAACUUAAAUUAAUGCAAAGACGAGAUAUAUUCUUUGUUCUGGUGGAAUACAAAUGAUGAAGACUAAUAAAUGAAUAAGUAAGCACUGGGUAACCAAAUCAAUGUCUGCUCAAUUCUGGUCAAGGAGGUGAAGUGAGGUUUCCCUUUGAGUCAGAGAAUGUAGUGGAUAAAAAGGACGUGAAUAGCUGGGGGGAUUUCCUGAGGCCAUUGCAGACCAGCUCACACACUGUUAAGAGGCUCGUUUUUAUGAGACUUUUGGUUGCAUUUGUAACGCUUGCUCUAGGUCCCCUAGAGCAUUAAGUGCCACAUCAGAGCACUACAACCACAGGACUAAACAUGAGAAGGUACAUUCCAAGGUUCUUUUCUCUCAGACCCAAAUAUCCAGGAGGAGCUUAUAGAUAUUUUCAAGACCUUUUUUCAUCCUUUGUUUUCCUCUCCCAACCAACCUACCAACCAACUAAACAAACCAAAAAAACUCCAAAACCCCUCCUUUCGAAUAGGACUACACGGAAAGGACUUUUGUUUUUGAUAAAAAUCUAAAUUCUUGUAUGUAAAAAAAUAACCAACUGUAAAACCUGUGGAUUAGUACAGUUAAUUAUUUCCACAGGUAGAACAUAUUUCUUUAGAAAAAACAACAAAACCUGGUCUGACUGGUAAGUUUGUUCUAGAUUAAGGAUUUAGACACAGUGUGAUAAGUAUUUGUUGUUUAUCAGGUUAGGUGCAAAUUAACUGGCCCAUAUUUUAACAUUUCACUACUGCAUUAAAGAAUUAAUAGUUUGAAAUUAUUAGCUGGCUCUUGUCACCAUUUUGGGGGAACAGUACCACCCACUUCUUUCAAAUUUGGCUCAAAACAUAGUCUGGGAUCUAAUUUUUCAAAAAAGCAACAACAACAACAAAAAACCAUCCGUAAAGUUCAGAACAGGGACAGGAAUCAUCAAAAGGAUAAGAUCCAAUCUUAAAAUCACUAGGGAGAACAAAAGCUCACUUAAUCCUCAAAGCAAAUGUAAAAGUAGGUGUUUUCUGGUUUUAUUGAUGACGCUGAGGCUCAGAGAGGUUAAGAAACUUCACCGUGCAGAGUUGAGAGGUAGCAGUACUCUGUGUCACACCUUGGUCUGUCUGACAGAACCUGUUCUAUUUACUUUUAUACUCCCCAUCCCCAAAAGGUCUCUGGCCAUCCGAGAGUUUCUUUGGGAUGAGCCAUCAGGUUCAUGGGGUGACAGAACAAUUACAACAAUUAUGAUAAUUGUUCAAUGUAUACAUAUGUAUGUAUUAGGUAUAUACAUAUAUGCUUUAUAUACUUAUGAUUAUAUAUAUGAUAUAUGUCACACAUAUAUGUGAAUACAUAAUGAUGGCCAACACUUAGUACUUACAGUGUGCCAGAUAUUAUUCAAAGUACAUCUCUCUAAGGUAGAAAUUAUUAUCAUCUAGUUUUACAGUUGAGAAAAGUAAAGCAUACAUCCAGAAAGUGGUACAG
This 4137-nucleotide long non-coding RNA is filed under the name Sus scrofa (pig). RNAcentral describes it as "lncRNA (ENSSSCG00000061494.1)". Lineage: Eukaryota; Metazoa; Chordata; Mammalia; Artiodactyla; Suidae. The record is from RNAcentral.